UAGACAACCAGGAUGUUGGCUUAGAAGCAGCCACACAUUCAAAGAGUGCGUAAUAGCUCACUGGUCGAGUGAUCCAGCGCCGAAAAUGUAACGGGGCUAAAACGCGACACCGAAGCAGCGGGAUGCGUAAGCAUCGGUAGAGGAGCAUUGUGUGAGGAUAGAAGCCAGAGCGGGAGCACUGGUGGACUUCACAGAAGAGAGAAUGCCGGUAUGAGUAGCGAGACCCAUGCGAGAAACAUGGGCGUCGAAGGCCCAAGGUUUCCUGGGGAAGGUUCAUCCACCCAGGGUAAGUCGGGACCUAAGCCGAGGACUGAGGUCGUAGGCGAUGGACAGCAGGUAGAGAUUCCUGCACCACUUACACUUGUUUGACGAAGCAGUGACACAGAAGGAUAGGACGAGCGCGGUGAUGGUCAACCGCGUAGGCGGCACGAGGUUGGGGAGCAGUAAAGUACACUUCCCGGGAAGGCUGAGUGCUGACAGGACCGAAAAAGAGUAGGGAAGCGUCUGAGUUCACGCUGGCGAGAAAAGCUGCUAAGGAGAGUGUGAGUGCCCGUACCGGAAACCGACGCAGGUGGGCGAGGAGAGAAUCCUGAGACGGACGGGAGAACUCUUGUUAAGGAACUCGGCAAAAUGACCCCGUAACUUCGGGAGAAGGGGUGCCUCGAAAGAGGCCGCAGAGAAUAGUCACAAGCGACUGUUUAGCAAAAACACAGGUAUCUGCGAAAGCGAGAGCUGACGUAUAGGUGCUGACGCCUGCCCGGUGCUGGAAGGUUAAGGGGAAGUGUUAGGGGAAACCCGAAGCAGAGAACCGAAGCCCCAGUAAACGGCGGCCGUAACAAUAACGGUCCUAAGGUAGCGAAAUUCCUUGUCGGGUAAGUUCCGACCCGCACGAAUGGCGUAACGACUUGUGAGCUGUCUCAACAGGAGGCCCGGUGAAAUUGAAGUAUGUGUGAAGAUGCACAUUACCCGCGACUGGACGGAAAGACCCCGUAGAGCUUUACUGUAACCUGACAUUGGAUCUUGAUAACGGAUGCACAGGAUAGGUGGGACGCUGGGAGGUAUGGACUUUGGUCUGUACGGAGCGGACGUUGGGAUACCACUCUUCUGUUAUUGAGAUUCUAACCUCAAGCCGUAAGCCGGAUGAGAGACAGUGUCAGGCGGACAGUUUGACUGGGGCGGUCGCCUCCGAAAGAGUAACGGAGGCGCCCAAAGGUACCCUCAGAAUGGAUGGAAACCAUUCGAAGAGAGCAAAGUCAGAAGGGUGCUUGACUGCGAGACCAACAAGUCGAGCAGGUACGAAAGUAGGGCUUAGUGAUCCGGCGGUAAGAGAGUGGAAUUGCCGUCGCUCAACGGAUAAAAGCUACCUCGGGGAUAACAGGCUGAUCUCCCCCAAGAGUUCACAUCGACGGGGAGGUUUGGCACCUCGAUGUCGGCUCGUCGCAUCCUGGGGCUGAAGCAGGUCCCAAGGGUUUGGCUGUUCGCCAAUUAAAGCGGCACGCGAGCUGGGUUCAGAACGUCGUGAGACAGUUCGGUCCCUAUCCAUCGUGGGCGUAGGAGUCAUGAGAGGAGCUGUUCCUAGUACGAGAGGACCGGAAUGGACGCAUCACUGGUGCAACUGUUGUCGUGCCAACGGCAUAGCAGGGAAGCGAAAUGCGGAUGGGAUAAACGCUGAAGGCAUCUAAGCGUGAAGCCCACCUCAAGAAUAAGUGUCCCAUUCGAAAGAAGUAAGACCCCUGGAAGACUACCAGGUGAUAGGUCAUCGGUGAAAGAGCGGUAACGUUUGGAGCUUGAUGAUACUAAUCGGUCGAGGA
RNAcentral lists this ribosomal RNA (1811 nucleotides) under human gut metagenome. RNAcentral's name for it is "bacterial LSU rRNA". It matches the Rfam family "Bacterial large subunit ribosomal RNA", at positions 1086 to 2912 of the family's 2925-position model. The record is from RNAcentral.